GACGAACGCUGGCGGCGUGCUUAACACAUGCAAGUCGAACGGAAAGGCCCUGCUUUUGUGGGGUGCUCGAGUGGCGAACGGGUGAGUAACACGUGAGUAACCUGCCCUUGACUUUGGGAUAACUUCAGGAAACUGGGGCUAAUAACGGAUAGGAGCUCCUGCUGCAUGGUGGGGGUUGGAAAGUUUCGGCGGUUGGGGAUGGACUCGCGGCUUAUCAGCUUGUUGGUGGGGUAGUGGCUUACCAAGGCUUUGACGGGUAGCCGGCCUGAGAGGGUGACCGGCCACAUUGGGACUGAGAUACGGCCCAGACUCCUACAGGAGGCAGCAGUGGGGAAUAUUGCACAAUGGGCGGAAGCCUGAUGCAGCAACGCCGCGUGCGGGAUGACGGCCUUCGGGUUGUAAACCGCUUUCGCCUGUGACGAAGCGUGAGUGACGGUAAUGGGUAGAGAAGCACCGGCUAACUACGUG
This 468-nucleotide ribosomal RNA is filed under the name uncultured bacterium. Its description in RNAcentral is "partial 16S ribosomal RNA". It matches the Rfam family "Bacterial small subunit ribosomal RNA", at positions 28 to 507 of the family's 1533-position model. The record is from RNAcentral.